This 1343-nucleotide ribosomal RNA is filed under the name uncultured bacterium. Its description in RNAcentral is "16S ribosomal RNA". It matches the Rfam family "Bacterial small subunit ribosomal RNA", at positions 28 to 1378 of the family's 1533-position model. The record is from RNAcentral.
GACGAACGCUGGCGGCGUGCUUAACACAUGCAAGUCGAACGGAAAGGCCCUGCUUUUGUGGGGUGCUCGAGUGGCGAACGGGUGAGUAACACGUGAGUAACCUGCCCUUGACUUUGGGAUAACUUCAGGAAACUGGGGCUAAUACCGGAUAGGAGCUCCUGCUGCAUGGUGGGGGUUGGAAAGUUUCGGCGGUUGGGGAUGGACUCGCGGCUUAUCAGCUUGUUGGUGGGGUAGUGGCUUACCAAGGCUUUGACGGGUAGCCGGCCUGAGAGGGUGACCGGCCACAUUGGGACUGAGAUACGGCCCGGACUCCUACGGGAGGCAGCAGUGGGGAAUAUUGCACAAUGGGCGGAAGCCUGAUGCAGCAACGCCGCGUGCGGGAUGACGGCCUUCGGGUUGUAAACCGCUUUCGCCUGUGACGAAGCGUGAGUGACGGUAAUGGGUAAAGAAGCACCGGCUAACUACGUGCCAGCAGCCGCGGUGAUACGUAGGGUGCGAGCGUUGUCCGGAUUUAUUGGGCGUAAAGGGCUCGUAGGUGGUUGAUCGCGUCGGAAGUGUAAUCUUGGGGCUUAACCCUGAGCGUGCUUUCGAUACGGGUUGACUUGAGGAAGGUAGGGGAGAAUGGAAUUCCUGGUGGAGCGGUGGAAUGCGCAGAUAUCAGGAGGAACACCAGUGGCGAAGGCGGUUCUCUGGGCCUUUCCUGACGCUGAGGAGCGAAAGCGUGGGGAGCGAACAGGCUUAGAUACCCUGGUAGUCCACGCUGUAAACGGUGGGUACUAGGUGUGGGGUCCAUUCCACGGGUUCCGUGCCGUAGCUAACGCUUUAAGUACCCCGCCUGGGGAGUACGGCCGCAAGGCUAAAACUCAAAGGAAUUGACGGGGCCCCGCACAAGCGGCGGAGCAUGCGGAUUAAUUCGAUGCAACGCGUAGAACCUUACCUGGGUUUGACAUGGAUCGGGAGUGCUCAGAGAUGGGUGUGCCUCUUUUGGGGUCGGUUCACAGGUGGUGCAUGGCUGUCGUCAGCUCGUGUCGUGAGAUGUUGGGUUAAGUCCCGCAACGGGCGCAACCCUUGUUCACUGUUGCCAGCACGUUAUGGUGGGGACUCAGUGGAGACCGCCGGGGUCAACUCGGAGGAAGGUGGGGAUGACGUCAAGUCAUCAUGCCCCUUAUGUCCAGGGCUUCACGCAUGCUACAAUGGCUGGUACAGAGAGUGGCGAGCCUGUGAGGGUGAGCGAAUCUCGGAAAGCCGGUCUCAGUUCGGAUUGGGGUCUGCAACUCGACCUCAUGAAGUCGGAGUCGCUAGUAAUCGCAGAUCAGCAACGCUGCGGUGAAUACGUUCCCGGG